This 355-nucleotide transfer-messenger RNA is filed under the name Rhodobacter sp. NTK016B. It matches the Rfam family "Alphaproteobacteria transfer-messenger RNA". From Rfam's summary of the family: Bacterial tmRNA, also known as 10Sa RNA or SsrA, is named for its dual tRNA and mRNA-like properties. Its role is to liberate the mRNA from a stalled ribosome. To accomplish this part of the tmRNA is used as a reading frame that ends in a translation stop signal. Lineage: Bacteria; Pseudomonadati; Pseudomonadota; Alphaproteobacteria; Rhodobacterales. The record is from RNAcentral.
CCCCUUGAGCCGCGCCGCGCCUGGCCCUAUAUAAGCUCUGUUCCCGGCAACGGGGACUAUGGACAUAAACGCGCUCGUAAUACGCGGCUCGGACCCGGGGGCGGUACCCGGCGGCUCCACCAAACUUCCCUCAUUGGGGGCGAAUGGGGCCGAAACAGGAUCGACGAACGUUUAAAGGGGUUUGCUUUGUCCCGGUGAGGUACCACCGUUAUCGGUCCGAAACGUACAGUUGCCAAUGACAACCGUGCUCCGGUGGCCGUCGCUGCGUAAGCAGUUGACCAAAACCGAUCUUAAGCCCUUGCGCUUAGCCGCGUAAGGCGGGGUUCGCAGGUACCUGGCAACAGAAACCUGCACU